UACGUAGGGUGCAAGCGUUAUCCGGAAUUAUUGGGCGUAAAGAGCUUGUAGGCGGUUUGUCGCGUCUGCCGUGAAAAUUCGAGGCUCAACCUCGAACUUGCGGUGGGUACGGGCAGACUAGAGUGUGGUAGGGGAGACUGGAAUUCCUGGUGUAGCGGUGAAAUGCGCAGAUAUCAGGAGGAACACCGAUGGCGAAGGCAGGUCUCUGGGCCACUACUGACGCUGAGAAGCGAAAGCAUGGGGAGCGAACAGG
RNAcentral lists this ribosomal RNA (253 nucleotides) under uncultured bacterium. RNAcentral's name for it is "partial 16S ribosomal RNA". It matches the Rfam family "Bacterial small subunit ribosomal RNA", at positions 524 to 776 of the family's 1533-position model. The record is from RNAcentral.